AUGUGUUUCAGCUCUCCCCUUCAGGAUCUGCCUGUGGGUCAUGCCCUGCAAGUCCCCUACACAUUGCUCUGCAGUUAUCUGCUGCUCUGUAAGAGUGGAAUGGUAACUUCCAGUUUUCUUGUUAAGGAAAAGACAAAGUUUACCAUCACUUUCCAAACACAGAAGCGUUGUCUUGGCAGCAAUUGGGAAUACAGCUUUCUUUUUGCAGCAUGUGAUCAUCCAAAGAAAACAACGCAGAAAUCAGACACACAAAAGCUUAGUGGGAAGACAGGUGUGCUGAAUGCUUUGAAAUGCUCAGAUAUUGCAGCAGCAAAAGGACGUUCAGAGAAACUGAUUUGAACUCUAUAUGGAUGUAUGAAAGGGCAGCCAUUCUGCAGUAGAAAAGAGAAUGCAGCUAACUUGGUGAUCAAUGUCUGUACUUGAAAUGAAUGUUUCUGUAUUCAGCUCGUAUAAUUACAUUAGUAGGUCUUCUGAGUGUUCAUUCAUUUGUGUACAUGAAUAAGACUUAAAUUCUGUGAUAUAUGAUCAUCCCUUCAAAUCAGACAGCAGCCUACCAAAAUAGCUUAAACUUGAUCUUGUAAUAAAAUGUAUCACGCCAGAUGAAUUUGAAAACA
This 614-nucleotide long non-coding RNA is filed under the name Phasianus colchicus (ring-necked pheasant). RNAcentral describes it as "lncRNA (ENSPCLG00000012832.1)". The record is from RNAcentral. Lineage: Eukaryota; Metazoa; Chordata; Aves; Galliformes; Phasianidae.